RNAcentral lists this long non-coding RNA (645 nucleotides) under Lupinus mutabilis. Its description in RNAcentral is "partial ncRNA". The record is from RNAcentral. Lineage: Eukaryota; Viridiplantae; Streptophyta; Magnoliopsida; Fabales; Fabaceae.
UCAAACAUGACUUGUCAAAGAAUUUUCAGAAUGACCUUGAAUCUUAUGUUUCUACUUUGUUUGGUUGCAGUGAUGAACAACCAUGUUACUCUAAGCUAUGCUAGGCAACUCAAGAAUCCAUCAAAUGAAGACAAAGAAGUAGCAAUUGAAAGUGAAAGUGUAGGAGCAGUAGAUCAAAGCAACAAGAAUAAGAAGGCAAAAGAGGAGAAGGAAGUAGUAGUAUUUAGAAGUGAAGUAGUAGAAGGAAAUGAAGGUUCAAAGAUGGGAAUAGGAGUAAAAGAUGAGAAACAUCCAUUACCACUAUUUCCAUUUCCAUGGCCAAUGCAACCACCAGUUGGAGGACUCCCAUUUCCACCACCCUUUGAUGUUCCAAUGAUUCCACCACUCCCUUUCCCUCCUCUUUCUUUCCCUCCUUUUGAUAUCCCUGGCAUUGUUCCAUCCCCACCUAUGUAACCAUGCAUGGACAUACAUAACUUUGGAUGGGAUGCAUGCAGUGAAAAUAAGUUCUAUGCUUGUACCAACAAAACAAUAAAGUUGUCUGGUUUAGGUUUGUAGUACUAAGUUGUCUGGUUUAAGGUUUGUAGUUUAUUAAGUUGUAUGGUUGAACCAAAAAAUAAUAUUUGUAUGAUGAGUUAUGAUUUGCGA